AGUGAAGAAGGCCAGGAAGAGCAGAGGAUGGUGCCAGGAGGAUGAUGUCGGGGGACACAGGCAGCUCAUGCCUGGAUCAGGCAGUGACUGGUGUGUGUGUGUGUGUUAUGAAGAGAGAGGGAUGGAAAUUGUGACCAGAGAGUUGGAGUUGGGACCCCUGUCUUGAUCACUUGAGCAUCAGCAGCUCCAGGGAAGAACACAUUCUGAAGGAGGAACUCUCCAGCUAGGAUUUCAUCCUGUCCUAGAGGACACGAAGAGGUGGAGACCACCCCCACAACUAAACUUGAGGAUUACUAAGGCAAUGGGGACUGCCUAGGAAUAUUUUUGAGGGGGUAAAAGCACCCCAUAAUUGUGCUAAGUAACAAAAGACAGAACAAGCAGCCUUAAAACAUUCUACAUGAUACACUGGUAUUAGAAUAAUAAGAUCUUAAAGACCAUCCACUUGAAAACUGGAUUUGCCCCUGGUCAUAUGGGCAGACCCAUGGCAGACAAAGAACUAGAAGUUCCUCCUAACUCCCAACUCAAUGUCCUUUCCUUAAAGAAUAACUGUUCUUUAUUAUAAAUAGGCCAAGCUUUUAUUAUUUAGUAUAGAACUCAGGCUGAUAUUUUUAUUGAUGGAUUAAAAUUUGAAUUAUUUCUGUAGCAUAGUAUUUAAAAGUUUUCUUCUACAUAUUUGUUAUCAUUUUCUAGCAAAUAUCCUCAAAAUUGAAAACUGCAACGUCAAUGAAAUCAGUGAGCACACUACCAUCCUUCUAAUGGGAGGUCUAAUUUAUCAUUCAUGCAUAGUAAAAAAAAAAAGCAUAAUAUUUAAAUGUGUACUCUGUGAUUGUUUAUAAAACUAUUUAAGUAUAAAUAUUCCAAACAAAGCACUUAGCUUAUAAAUGAACUUAAAUCCUCAAAGUUAGGAUUUAAGUCACUCGUUUGGAAUUUGUUACAUAUUUUUCCUUUGUAAUAGUUGGUGACCAUAUUCUUAAGGCAGCCCACAAAAGUCUAGUAAAUUCCCUACUGUGGCUCCAGUGUUUACAUUUGUAAUGGAAACGUGUUGAAAAUGAAUACUAAUGUAGUGCUAGUCAUGGAAAGUAUUUAAAACACAAAGUAAAAGGAUUGGACACAUGAGUUUUCAAGUCGCUAGGAAGGGAGAAGGUAAUGGGUUAAUAUUAGGUCAUAGAGUUCUAUGUCUGGAUGCUAGGUGGCGCUAUUGAACCAGAACAGCUCGGUUAUUUGCCAAGUCAAGGGUUUAUAGAGGGAUGCUCAUAUGACUGUUCCUAUUACACAUAUUCACAUGUUCCUUGUCUUUCAUGUGCUUAUUUAUUUUGGCCCUUACCACCACUGAGAUUUUAGCUCCUAAAAAUUAUGACUAGAAAAAUACUGAUGGCUCACAGCAUGUCUUUAAGAGUUAAGGAGAAAAAGUGUUCAGAAAUACAUUAAUAUUCACUGCUCAGAAAUAUGUGAGUCUUGCCCCUUACUUACACAUUUUUGUGGAUGACUAUGGAUCAUUCUCUCAACUUCUCUGGGCUGGCUUCAGUUUCUCAUUUUUACUUUUAUUUUAUUUUUGAAACAAGGUCUUGCUCUGUCACCUAGGCUAGAGUGCAAUGGGUGCGAUCAUCAUAGCUCACUGCAGCCUCGACCUCCCCAAGGCUCAGGUGAUCCUCCCACUUCAGCCUGCCCAGUAGCUGGGACCACAGGCACAUGCCAUCAGGCCUGUUUUUUUUUUUUUUUUUUUUAGAUGGAGUCUCACACUGUCACCUAGGCUGGAGUGCAGUGGUGCAAUCUCUGCUCACUGCAACCUCUGCCUCCCAGGUUCAAGCAAUUCUCCUGUCUCAGCCUCCAGAGUAGCUGGGAUUACAGGCACCUGCCACCAUGCCCAGUUGAUUUUUUGUAUUUUUAGUAGAGAUGGGGUUUCACUAUGUUGGCCAGGCUGGUCUUGAACUCCUGACCUCGUGAUCCACCCACCUUGGCCUCCCAAAGUGCUGGGAUUACAGGUGUGAGCCACCACGCCUGGACUUUUUUUUUUGUAUUUUUAGUAGAGACGAGCUUUUGCUAUGUUGCUCAGGCUAGUCUCAAACUCCUAGCCUCAAGUGAUCUGUCUGCCUUGGCUUCCCAAAAUGGUAGGAUUACAGGUGCAAGUCACUAUACCUGGCCUCAGUUUCUCAUUUUUAAAAGGUGAUAAGUAAUAAACAAACAUAAUAAGGAUUAAUCAAUAAAAAAUAAUUAUGUAUAAGAUGACAUAUGUGAUCAUAUGUAAUAAUUAUGUAUAUGUUCAACCAGUGAGGUUGCUUCUACCGAGUAAACCUGCUGGGGCCUUGGUGCUCCCUAAUUCAAACUCAUGGUCAGGAUUGAGCAGUGUUUUCUGAAUGCCCACUCCACAGUACUUGUCCUAAUAUCAGCAGCUGCGCACCGGCUGGAAGAAAUACCAAGCAUAUUCUCUUGGUUAUCCAUCUUGCUAAAACUCUAAUUUUUAUUUCAUCUCAAGUACUUACUAUCCUAAGCUUCUGAGAUACUCUAUUCUGUCUCCAUAAAAUGCAAAUAUUAACAUAAAAUGACUGUUUAAAAAAAGUUCUAAAGGCUAAGUUUCUCCAAUAUUUUUGGUAGGAGACAAAUUUACUUGAUGUCAGCAUAUAUUUCUACAAGAAAGGAACAGAAGAAAAGACAGUUACGCUGUUAUUGAGAAAGGUUAUUAACCUGUCUAAAUGGUGAGUUAUUGGGACAGGUAGUAUUGAUUUGAAAGAAUCAAUGAAUAUCAUUUCAAUCUGAAAUAAGUGACAACCCAUAUGACUAACAGACAUUACGAUUUUUACUAGCUCUCCAAAGAGUCAUUGCUAUUAGUGUUUUUUCUUCUGUAAUGAGACUGGUAUACAUAUUUUUAGUAUUGCUAGAGAGGAGUUACCAGAAGUCAGCAAACUCCUAUUUUUUUUUUUGUUUUUGUUUUUCAAUAACAGGACAAACACCAAAGAAAAAUGGCCAGUGGUGUUUUUGCAUCUUAAUUCAGCUCUUCAGAUGGUUAGUUAAUCUACAAUGAGUUAAGGGUCACUAGAUCCCUUAAAUCAGUAUCUUAGAUUUUAGCUUUUCUUCUCUCUGUUCUCUAAUCUACUCAGUUAUCAAACUCUUCAAUAAAGGGAAAGAGUAAUGAUUUUAGUAUGCCCUAAGACAUGAACUUAGACUAAAAAUACAAAGAUGAGAUGGUGAAGUAACUAGAAACUUGCAGCUAUUCUUUCUUUAACCUACUUGACACCAACUCAGUUGUGGUGAUGAGAAAACAAUAUGGGUGCUAAGUCUUCCCUGAGGCUAAAAUAUAUUGAGAAACUGGCCAGGAGUGUGUGUUGAUCUCUUGUCCUCUGCCUCAGGGGACACGGAAACUUGUUGGGAUAGAGGAACUGUGGACUAGCUUGGUCUUCAAUGUUACCAUAGAAACAUAUCACAAGAAGAUGCCCAAGAGAACACAAAACACAGUAGAAGUUACUGAAGCAACAACUCAAAGGUUCAUUUUAUUGGGCAUAUAAUGUGUGGCAGCUGAGAGAGUUAUGCUAGGGUGAUAUUUAAAGUAUUUGACAACCAGCUCCACUCAAGAACUGAACUCAGAACAGUCACUGAGUGUGACACUGGCCCGGGGUCCUGAAGAUCCCUCUUGUGCCAUGAAUUAGUCCUUCCGUUACAUCACUGUUGGAAAAGGCGGGGGUAACAAGGACGGGCAGCCAGGCUGGCAGGUGCACCCUGAAGGCCGUAUAGAAGUGUUUCACUGUUUUAACCGCUAGUCCAGCUGGACCACGUGGACUGGCCAAGUGGCCUGGCUUAUGGAAACCUUUCAUCCCACUACACAGGAAAACCAGAUGUCCUUUAUUCUCUUUGAGAUAUUUACUAUGCCAAACUCUGAGGGAAAAAUAAUCUUUAAUUUAUAGGUGGAAAGAUCAUGGCUGAAGGUAAAAGAGUUAAUAGUAACUUGGUUUUCAGAAAUCUUUUCUCCUUGAAUUAACGAACUUUCAGAUCACGGAAUAAAGGCCCAUAAUUUCUGAGAAGACACAUAUUUAAAUGGAGAAAAUAGGAAGUCAAUAUGAUAUACCACGACAAGAGCCACUAAGUGGGUCCUCUGGGCUAAGCUUUUUAUAGGUGGUUUAUCUGUAUUCAAAAGCAUGAAGAUAAAAAUACCCUCAUCUAGGUUCUCAGGUCCACAACCCCUGUGCUGGGUUUUGCAUCCUGUGAAUGGUGUGUGUUCCAGACCUCAGGAUGGAUGGUGAUGUAACUGGAAGAGGACUCUCACGUUGGCUCCUCCUCCCAAAUGCUGGGACAAGAGAGUGCUCAUUAAAAUAAACAAUAUUAAUAAAAUAAAAACACAUACAUUUAUUUCGUACACUGGCUCUGAGGGUCAGAAAUUCAGGGGUAGCUUAGUUGGGUGGUCCUGGCUUGGGAUCUCUCAUGAGACAGCCAUUAACAUGUUGGUUGGGGCUGCAGUUAUCUGAAGGCUUGACUGGGGUCAUAGUAGCUGCUCCCAAGAUGGCUCACACACGUGGCUCUUGGUCUGAGGUCUCAGUUCCUCACUAUGUGAACCUCUCUUCAUCCAUAGCAGCUGAUCUCUCUCAGAGCAAAUGACUGAGCAGACAGUAACAAAGUUGGAAGCCAUAAUAUCUUUUAUGGAGAGUGUUCAUCUUAUGUGUCACCAGGAUUUAGUUUGCCCUUUAUCUCAGACUGUGUAUUAGACACACACACACCACACACCACACCACACCACACACACACACACACACACACACACACACACACACACACACACACACCAUAGAACAAGAUAAAGCCAAAAGGAGAAAAUGAUUAACAUAAACCUUUCUUCUUCAAAGGAGUCUAAUUUAGGAUAAGACCUCUCCUUGCACAAAGAACGGAGUUUAUGUUGUCUUCUAGAAAUAAAAAUCAGUCACAUCAAACUCUUUACAUUAAAAUUCUAUAAACUCUUUAAAUGGCUUGUUGUUGAAAAGACAAAGGAAAUCCUAGUUUCACAACCCCACUCAGGUAAAUGGGAUUUGAACUCUAAUGAGAGCUGGGAGGCUAAGGCAGCCUCCACCAACUAUCCACCUUCCUUCAGCAAGUCCCUGAUGGUGGUAGGGCCACCUUGACCUUGUGCAACGGGAUCCAGGGCUCUCUGGGCAAAGACCAGUUUCCCUGGGCCUUGGGACCUACCAGUGAUGCAGGUGGGGUUCGGGAACCCUGUGGAAUGUGAGGCAGCAGACUGCAUUUGGGGAGCUUUCAUCUGCUGCUUCCUUCUUUCUUUCUUUCUUUUUUUUGAGAUGAAGUUUCGCUCUUGUCGCCUAGGCUGGAGUGCAGUGGCGCGAUCUUGGCUCACUGCAACCUCCACCUCCCAGGUUCAAGCGAUUCUCCUGCCUCAGCCUCCCGAGUAGCUGGAAUUACAGGCUCCCACCAACACACCUGGCUAAUUGUUGUAUUUUUAGUAGAGACAGGGUUUCUCCGUGUUGGCCAGGCUGGUCUCGAACUCCUGACGUCAGGUGAUCCACCUGCCUCGGCCUCCCAAAAUGCUGGGAUUAUAGGCAUGAGCCACCGCACCGGGCCUAUCUGCUGCUUAUUUCUACAGGGCAGAAUGCCUUCUUCCAUCUCAGGACAACAAAACAGAACAAUAAACAGAUCACUGAAUGUGUAUUCAAGGCUUGUUGUCACAGCAGUAGAUUAAGGAGAAUAGGAAAAAACAAACAACGUUGUUUGUCUUUCUCUUUGGAUAAAAUGACAAUGAAAAAAUAAAUGAUGGAUUUCUGAAAGUAAUUAUACUUACGAUGAUACCACAGGCAGCCCUUGUAAUUGCUUUGCCACAUUCUAUUUCUUGCUGCUAUUUGGGGACCACUCGGUUUGUUAGGAUAAAAUCAUAAUUGUAUUUUCAAUUUGCUGCUCUAUCUAUUCCACUGUCAGGAUUUGAUACACUAGAGUGCUUUUAUCAAAUGGAAGUUGGGCCAGAGAGAAUUCAUCACAAGGAUGGCUCUUUCAUACUCACGCAUGUUUCCAUCAAUGGAGUCCAGGUGCACACACACGGAUUCAUUUGUACCCACCCCAACAACAUGCUCAAGACAAGGCUGAUGGAAAAUGUUGCCAGUUUCAGUUUCCAGCAACAUGCUCAAGACAAGGCUGAUGGAGAAUGUUGCCAAUUUCAGUUUCCAUAGGGAGAAAUGGAGCCAUUAAGCCUUUGGAACAUGGUGCUUUUAUGUCUGAACAUGAAGCUCAAGAUUUUGGCAUCUGCAGCUCCUGGUUCUAACUUUCCUUUGCAAGCCCAGGGAACUAACUGCCCUUUGUCAUCAGAAGAGAUCAUUUCACUCCUUUAUUUCCUGAGGCCUUUUCAAGGUGAGUAGCCCUGGACACAGACCUCUCAUGGAGAAGAGCUUGCUUACAAAUGAAGUUACCUGGGUCUUUGUAGAUACUGAGCACGCCCUUGAAGUAAUGAGGUAAAAAUCUUUCCAGUAACAGC
This 6454-nucleotide long non-coding RNA is filed under the name Homo sapiens (human). Its description in RNAcentral is "non-protein coding lnc-ZC3H12D-2:3". The record is from RNAcentral. Lineage: Eukaryota; Metazoa; Chordata; Mammalia; Primates; Hominidae.